CACAGAGACAGGUGGUGGCGGCAGCACACUGCUUGGUGGCAGACAGCAUGUAUCCAGCAGCAGUUUUGCCCACUAGCCUCUACUUGUUGCCACUGCUGCAGCACCCUCUCCCCCCCCACACGUCCCUCCUCAGCACCACAAUACAUCACAAUACAUCACAGUACCAGUCUUCUCCAUAUCAGGAAAUCUCUUCCUCUAGCUAAGCUGCCCUACAGGAAGGGACUGCAGCUCAGUGGUUUGCAUGCAAUACAAUACAAUACAAUACAGUACAAUACAAUACAAUCCCUGGCAUCUCCAAAUAAAACUUGGAAAGACCCUUGCCUGAUAUCUUGGAGACCCAAUACCAGUCCAUGUCGACAAUACUGUGCUGGGUGGACCACCCAGACAAUUGCUACUAGCGUGGAGGACUAGGGGCUGGGAUGCAUCUUCCCUGGCCCCAGAACUCCUAUCAUACACUGUGCAAGAGCGUGGUGCAUGCAUUAUAGGGUUCCUCCGGGCACUGGCCAGGAGGCUACUUGUGUGUAGGUGCCUCUGCAGCUGCGCGGCACCAACACACACGCACUAAGCUGAGCUUAGUGGAGCCCUCACACCCCAAACCCAGGCUAAGCGGUGGACUCCCUAAGCUGGUUUGCUGCCGUGGCUCCCAGUGGUCCAGAUGUGCCGGCAAAACCAGGCUGGGCUUCCUUAGCCCAGUUUUGCCUGCGCAUGUGAAUAGCCCCUAUAUCUGUGACGACCCAUUUCAAAUAUACAUCCUUUACUAACUUCACUCUGUGACAUGUAGGAAAUAAUCUGCUAUUAACUAAUUUUUAGGAAAGAUAAAAGCAAGCUAACUGGGAUGUAGCCUCUGCUAGUGCUUAAAAGGUAAAGUGUGCCAUCGGUGUCGACUCCUGGUGACCACAGAGCUCUGUGCUUGCCUUUGGUAGAAUACCAGAGAGAUUCACCAUUACUAUCUCCCGCGCAGUAUGAAAGGAUGCCUUACAGCAUCUUCCUAUAUUGCUGCUGCCUGAUAUAGGUGUUUCCAAUACUCUGGGAAACAUACCAGCGGGGAUUCGAACCAGCAACCUCUGGCUUGCUAGUCAAGUCAUUUCCCAGCUGCGCCAUUAGGUGGCUCUGCUAGUGCUUACAUGAAGUAUAAUGGCAAUGCUUCCCAAAUCUGCAUAUAUGACAGUUGAACUGGCAUGAUCCAACACUGAUACCACCUGGACAAUUUACCUUUUGCAAGUCAUAUAAUGGCAAUGAGCAGAAUGCUGUUUUACUCUUUUAUCAGAAUCUGUCUAUUGAAAAUACAAAUAUGAUGCUUGCCAGAUGCAUUUUUAAAAGAAAAACAAACUUUUGAAAAGGCAGAUUUAAAGAUCAAUGCAUCUAGGCUGAUAUAUUCAGUCCCUGAUUCAAGGUCUCAGAACUUAAUCAGGAGCUUGAGUGGAACCUAAAUGCGAAAACAAGUGUCAUCAACAAAAUCAAGUCCACAGCACUGAGAACUGACAUUCAUUUCCUUGAGUCAAAAUAUAUUAGAUGUUAUCCGACUGCCGCUCUUUUGUGUGUUUGUCUUUAUUGAUUGCAUAUAUAAAGGUUAAUGUGUAACAGAAUGUAUUGCAUGCCCCAAAGUAAAAAAUUCAGACUUCAAGUGGAAAGAAACACAAAGCAUCCGUCUUUCAUCAAAGGAAGGCUGUGCAGAAAUGUCAGCUACAUGGAUACAAUUAAUGGUUCUGCUGCCAUCAUAUGUGCCUCGGCUCUGAGAGAGAGAGAGAGAGAGAGAGAGAGAGAGAGAGAGACCACUUUUAGGUUCUGCACUGAAGACAAACAAUAGAUUCUGCAGUGAAGGAACAAAUUAUGUUCCUUGAUUGCAAAAUAAAUGCAUUAAAGUGAAUUGCACAAUUUCAUCUAUUAAAAAUAAUUACUUUCACUGAAUUUGGAAGGGGCCUGCAAGCCAGUGGUUAUGGAGCUAAGACUCUUACUACUACUAUUGGCCCAAAGGCAGCCUAAAUGUCUUGUCUGGAAGCUACUAUGACGUAGAUUGAGUGUGAGUUUUGGACAUCUCUGUUCAGCUAUGAGGUUCAGUGGGUGGUUUGAGGCAACAUACAACAAAGGGCUAUUCAGGUUGUAAAGCAUUUGGAGUAAUGAAAAAUGUGUUGGAUUAUUUAUUUAUUUAUUUAUUAAGAGGCAUAAUUCAUUCAUUCAUUCAUUCAUUCAUUCAUUCAUUCGAUUUCUAUACCACCCUUCCAAAAAAUGGCUCAGGGUGGUUUACAUAGAGAAAUAACAAAUAAAUAAGAUGGAUCCCUGUCCCCAAAGGGCUCACAAUCUAAAAAGAAACAUAAGAUAGACACCAGCAACAGUCACUGGAGGUACUGUGCUGGGGGUGGAUAGGGCCAGUUACUCUCACCCUGCUAAAUAAAGAGAAUCACCACGUUGAAAUGUACCUUUUAAAAGGUUAAAUGGUAAAAAAAAUAAUGCAGACAAGAUAAACAGAGGCAAGGAAGCUCUAAGCAGCACUGUAUCUUCUCCCACUAUAAUGUCUUUCUAUGGUCAUGGGUUCCUUAGGUAUUCUAACUUUGUGGAAUGCCUUGGUAGUCCCUUUCUGCUAGGUUCUUGGAGCAGAAGUGACCAACCCUAGUUUGCAGCGACAGGCUUCUUUAUUCAGCAAGGUGCUUAACUAGAAGAGCUCUGCAGACACUCACAAGACCACGAAGGAAUCCUGGACCAGCAUUUUCCAACCAUUGUGCCGUGGUACACUACUGGCCACAUAACAUUGACCAGUGCACCAUGCUGAUCCUUUCCCUUGCUCUUGGAGGCAACUCACUCAUAAUGCUCUGCCAUAUAAUGCACGAGCACAAAAUUAGCCUGGAAUGCAAACUCCUGACUUGGUGCAUCUGGCUAGUGCAACUGGACUAGUGCAUCACGUUUGGUGCUGGAGAAGACUUUUGAGGAUACCAUGGACAGCCAGGAAAACAAACAAAUGGAUCACAGAACAAAUCAAUCCAGAAUUUUCACUCGAGGCACAAAUGACCAGGCUCAAAUUAUCAUACUUCAGACACAAUAUGCGAAAACCCAGCUCCCUUGAGAAGUCCAUAAUACUGGGGAAAGUUGAAGGAAAGAGAAGAAGAGGACGACCAGCAGCAAGGUGGAUAGACUCGAUUACAACAGCAAAUGAAUGCACCACUGAGAGACCUUAAAGACCAAGUUGAAGUCAGAUCAUCCUGGAGAGAAUCUAUGUAUGUGGUCGCUAAGAGUCAACACCGACUGGACAGCACUUAAUCAGUCUAUCUAUCCAUCACGUUUGUGCAAGUGCAUUAGUCUGGAUGACGGUCAGGGAUGUUUGUGGCCAAGGAACAAAACAUAAUGUGCAUCCCACUAAUGGCAAAGGAAAAGGCCUCCAUAGAAUUUGCAGUAUGUAUCCUGAAGCAACGACUACAAUGCUGUAUUUUGCAUUUACCAUAAGACAGAUGUUGGGACCAUAAGCAGUAACUCUGCCCAGCUCCUGUAAGAGAGUGUGGGAAGGAGACUUGUAGAAGAGACGCUAAACUGGAUUGUUCAAUAAAGGACUUUCUUAAUUUUA
This is a long non-coding RNA of Hemicordylus capensis (graceful crag lizard), 3553 nucleotides long. RefSeq lists it as uncharacterized. The transcript has 2 exons. Lineage: Eukaryota; Metazoa; Chordata; Lepidosauria; Squamata; Cordylidae. The record is from RefSeq and is a predicted model, not a curated record.